GCCUUGGAGGCACUUUUAAGUUGGCAAAGCUACCAGUGGUCAAAAGCAUCAGAGUUCUUGAGAACGAUAAAAUUUUACCUGAGUUAAUGAUUAGAGAACAAGGACUUACUAGCUGACCGCAUGAACGGCCAUCCCCUAGAUGAAAGGCAGAAUUUCUCCAUGGCUACAGCUGCCAUUUAUGAAGCAAGUUUCAGGUGGAGUUUCUUCAGUGUCCAGUCUUCCUGGAGGAAAUGCCAACAUUUUGCUAACGUUGGUGCAUGUAACUCGGCAGGUUUUCCUGACAUUUGCUCCUGCCCGUGGGAGUCUGAAAUAUGCCAGGACCCUGUAGCCUUCAACUCAGUCACUUUUCCAGCUAAGGACCUCUGGAUUCUUCCAUUCACCACUGCUAUGUCUGAGAGACAGGCCAUCUGCUGGCACCAUCCCACUUCCUCCAAGAAGACUGAACACUGAAGAAACUCCACCCACAAAAGUGGUAAUGCUAGUGCCUUUCACUCAACUGCGGCAAAGGACUCUUUGAACCAUGGUCAAGAAGAUGGUGGAAUCAACUUUCUCCACAUUGCUUGGGCCAACAGUAGGCAAGUCUUCCUAAAGCUCCUAAUCCACAAGUCCUAUGCUAUCAGCAGAAGACAGGUGUCCUUAAAGCCUCUGACCUCAACAACUAUGGAGGUCCAUGUGGCUAGCUAGGAAGUCUCUGUUCUCUAAUCAUUAAUUCAGGUAAAACUUUAUCCUUCUCAAGAACUCUGAUGCAGGUUGAUGGCUGGUAGGUUUCAGUGUAACUCAUAUUUACCAUUCCUUUGUUUAAAAAAUGUUUUAAGGUAUAACAAAGUAACUUAAGGUAUAGAAAUGCAAGUUAUCAGAUUUCUUUCUCAUUAUGCUACUGCUCAUAGUCUUAACAUUAAUCAAUAAAGUUCUGAUAAGCUACUAAUCCAACUGACAGAAUACUAAACAUCACACUCUACCACUCUAUGAUCAUAACUACAAGCUCAAAAUUAACUGUGUUAAAGAUAUCUGUCAGUUUUAAGAAUGUUAAUGGUUAUGACCAAAUCAUUUCUAACAUGAGUAUUCUAAUGUAUCUAAAAUUUAUGUUUUCACAAACUCAAAGGAUUCUUAUAAGUUCCAGGGAGCCGAAUUGGACCCACCCAAAACAGGUCAGAUUCACUCCAGGUAAAUAUUCAACCUUUCCUUGGUCCCGGGACUCCCUUCCCUUAUCUUGGAACCCCUCCUCAUCUUUUGAUCCUCUUCCCCUCAAGUACCAGGUCCUAAGAAAUUUUUUUUCCUAAACUUAAACUUGUCCUCUGCUCCGCCAACAUCUUGCCAGGUCUAAAGAGGCUCCAGAGCGUUCCAUAUAGACUGAACUGCGAUGAAACAACCAGCUAUCCCAGGAUGUGGCAGGACCCCAGCAUUCUCAGGUUCCCCAAAGAUGCUCAACCCCCCCCAGGCUUACUAAGUACCCCAAAGAUUGGAGAAAGAGGAGGAGUAAAAGAGGAAGAGGAAUAGGGGAAAGAAGAGAAGAGAAGAGGGGAGGAGGAGGAAGAAGAGGAGGAGGCGAAGAAGUUUCACUGUAAGGUCCCUACUGGCCUUGAACUCAUGCUCUCCCUGCCUGAUUCUCUCGAGUGCUGGGAUUACUGGCAUACUGCCACACUGAAAAUUAGAUAUUUUGAUUAACCUUCUGCUUUAUCGUCUCUGCUCUGCCUCGCCAAACUCUUUUCUUUGUGGUAAGGGUCAGAUGGGUAGCCUGUGACUUUCUAUUAAAAUUCAUAUUUCCUCCAAACACUAGGUUAUUGUUUAGGCUUCUUCACUAAUUUUCAUAGUUUUAGAAAUGCAAAAAUCAUAAGAAUCAUCAUUCUUAGGUUGUGAUAAGCUUGACUUUACUAUCUAUUGCAACUUCAAGAACAAUCAGUUAAAAUAUGAUUGCAUAAUUAUUCCCCCUCCACUUUUUGAAAGGCCAAAUUUAUUGUGGAUGGUGGAGAAUUGGUAAUGAAGCAAGGCUGGGUUUCUUCUUUUUAAAUUAUAUUUUCAAAAGAAGUCCAAUCGUCAUAGCAACGCUCUGAAAAGAUUCUGAUGCAACUUUGGAAUUACUUCACAUACCCAAUUACAUAGGAUGUCUGCUUGGGAUGAGAGAUAAAUGCUUCUGUGACUGCAAACAUAGAAAGAAAAUCCAUCUUCAUAUUUUUAGCCAUUUAUUAAAGCAGAGGAAAAUCGUUUUCAAAAUGCAAUUUCUGGCUUCAAGAAAGAUUAUUGCAAAAAAAAGAAAAAAGUGUCUCGGUGCAGU
Long non-coding RNA from Mesocricetus auratus (golden hamster), 2272 nucleotides. RefSeq lists it as uncharacterized. The record is from RefSeq and is a predicted model, not a curated record. Lineage: Eukaryota; Metazoa; Chordata; Mammalia; Rodentia; Cricetidae. The transcript has 3 exons.